This 274-nucleotide ribosomal RNA is filed under the name uncultured bacterium. RNAcentral's name for it is "partial 16S ribosomal RNA". It matches the Rfam family "Bacterial small subunit ribosomal RNA", at positions 523 to 796 of the family's 1533-position model. The record is from RNAcentral.
CUACGGAGGGUGCAAGCGUUAUUCGGAAUCACUGGGCGUAAAGGGUGCGUAAGCGGUUUGAUAAGUCUGAUGUGAAAUCCUAUGGCUCAACCAUAGAACUGCAUUGGAAACUGUCAAACUAGAAUACUGAAGGGGCAGAUGGAAUUAGUGGUGUAGGGGUAAAAUCCGUAGAUAUCAUUAGGAAUACCGAAAGCGAAAGCGAUCUGCUGGGAAGUUAUUGACGCUGAGGCACGAAAGCGUGGGGAGCAAACGGGAUUAGAAACCCUAGUAGUCC